AGGACGAACGCUGGCGGCGUGCUUAACACAUGCAAGUCGAGCGGAAAGGCCCUUUCGGGGGUACUCGAGCGGCGAACGGGUGAGUAACACGUGAGUAAUCUGCCCUUCACUCUGGGAUAGCCCUCCGAAAGGGGGAUUAAUACCGGAUACGACCUUGGCACGCAUGUGCUUGGGGUGGAAACGUUUUUGGGGUGGGGAUGUGCUCGCGGCCUAUCAGCUUGUUGGUGGGUAAUGGCCUACCAAGGCUUCGACGGUAGCCGGCCUGAGAGGGUGACCGGCCACACGUGGGACUGAGACACGGCCCAGACCUCCGUACGGGAGGCAGCAGUGGGGAAUAGUGGACAAGUGGGCGGAAGCCGUGAUCCAGACACGCCGCGUGGAGGAUGACGGGCCUUCGGGUUACGUAACCUCGUUCGACGCGUCCGGCGAACG
RNAcentral lists this ribosomal RNA (432 nucleotides) under uncultured soil bacterium. RNAcentral describes it as "bacterial SSU rRNA". It matches the Rfam family "Bacterial small subunit ribosomal RNA", at positions 26 to 453 of the family's 1533-position model. The record is from RNAcentral.